Molecule: ribosomal RNA, 908 nt
Filed under: Pholiota lenta
Lineage: Eukaryota; Fungi; Basidiomycota; Agaricomycetes; Agaricales; Strophariaceae
Description: partial large subunit ribosomal RNA
Rfam family: Eukaryotic large subunit ribosomal RNA
Source: RNAcentral
CAUAUCAAUAAGCGGAGGAAAAGAAACUAACAAGGAUUCCCCUAGUAACUGCGAGUGAAGCGGGAAAAGCUCAAAUUUAAAAUCUGGCAGCCUUCGGUUGUCCGAGUUGUAAUCUAGAGAAGUGUUAUCCGCGCUGGACCGUGUACAAGUCUCCUGGAAUGGAGCGUCAUAGAGGGUGAGAAUCCCGUCUUUGACACGGACUGCCAGGGCUUUGUGAUGCGCUCUCAAAGAGUCGAGUUGUUUGGGAAUGCAGCUCAAAAUGGGUGGUAAAUUCCAUCUAAAGCUAAAUAUUGGCGAGAGACCGAUAGCGAACAAGUACCGUGAGGGAAAGAUGAAAAGAACUUUGGAAAGAGAGUUAAACAGUACGUGAAAUUGCUGAAAGGGAAACGCUUGAAGUCAGUCGCGUUGUUUGGGAAUCAACCUUGCUUUUGCUGGGCGUACUUUCCAGAUGACGGGCCAGCAUCAAUUUUGACCGUUGGAUAAAGGCUGGAGGAAUGUGGCAUCUUCGGAUGUGUUAUAGCCUCUGGUUGUAUACAACGGUUGGGAUUGAGGAACUCAGCACGCCGCAAGGCCGGGUACUUGUACCACGUUCGUGCUUAGGAUGCUGGCAUAAUGGCUUUAAUCGACCCGUCUUGAAACACGGACCAAGGAGUCUAACAUGCCUGCGAGUAUUUGGGUGGAAAACCCGAGUGCGUAAUGAAAGUGAAAGUUGAGAUCCCUGUCGCGGGGAGCAUCGACGCCCGGACCAGACCUUUUGUGACGGAUCUGCGGUAAAGCAUGUAUGUUGGGACCCGAAAGAUGGUGAACUAUGCCUGAAUAGGGUGAAGCCAGAGGAAACUCUGGUGGAGGCUCGUAGCGAUUCUGACGUGCAAAUCGAUCGUCAAAUUUGGGUAUAGGGGCGAAAGACU